This 253-nucleotide ribosomal RNA is filed under the name uncultured bacterium. Its description in RNAcentral is "partial 16S ribosomal RNA". It matches the Rfam family "Bacterial small subunit ribosomal RNA", at positions 524 to 776 of the family's 1533-position model. The record is from RNAcentral.
UACGGAGGAUCCGAGCGUUAUCCGGAUUUAUUGGGUUUAAAGGGUGCGUAGGCGGGAGCGGAAGUCAGCUGUGAAAUUUUAUGGCUCAACCAUAAACUUGCAGUUGAAACUCCGUUUCUUGAGUACACAUGAGGUAGGCGGAAUAUGUAGUGUAGCGGUGAAAUGCUUAGAUAUGUUAUAGAACACCGAUUGCGAAGGCAGUCUACUAAGCCGACAUUGACGCUGAGGCAUGAAAGCGUGGGGAGCGAACAGG